GACGAAGGGGGCUAGCGUUGUUCGGAAUUACUGGGCGUAAAGCGCGUGUAGGCGGUUGCCCAAGUCGGGUGUGAAAGCCUUGAGCUCAACUCAAGAAAUGCACUCGGUACUGGGUGACUAGAGGACCGGAGAGGAUAGUGGAAUUCCCAGUGUAGUGGUGAAAUACGUAGAGAUUGGGAAGAACACCAGUGGCGAAGGCGGCUAUCUGGACGGUUUCUGACGCUGAGGCGCGAAAGCGUGGGGAGCAAACGGG
This 253-nucleotide ribosomal RNA is filed under the name uncultured bacterium. RNAcentral describes it as "partial 16S ribosomal RNA". It matches the Rfam family "Bacterial small subunit ribosomal RNA", at positions 524 to 776 of the family's 1533-position model. The record is from RNAcentral.